This 253-nucleotide ribosomal RNA is filed under the name uncultured bacterium. RNAcentral's name for it is "partial 16S ribosomal RNA". It matches the Rfam family "Bacterial small subunit ribosomal RNA", at positions 524 to 776 of the family's 1533-position model. The record is from RNAcentral.
UACGAAGGGGGCUAGCGUUGCUCGGAAUCACUGGGCGUAAAGCGCACGUAGGCGGAUUGCUAAGUCAGGGGUGAAAUCCCAGAGCUUAACUUUGGAAGUGCAUCCGAAACUGCUGAACUAGAGUCUCGGAGAGGGUGGUAGAAUUCCCAGUGUAGAGGUGAAAUUCGUAGAUAUGGGGAGGAACACCGGUGGCGAAGGCGACCAUCUGGACGGAUACUGACGCUGAGACGCGAAAGCGUGGGUAGCAAACAGG